UCACCCCUCAAGCCCUGUGCUUGGUGUUGGACGGCCGGUCGAGCGAUCGACCCCUCCUAAAGACAAUGACGGCGGCCUGCGGUUCCCCCAGUACACUGAGCUUUUCACCGAGCACGUACCGGACCAGGGCACCCGGGACCCGGUCCUCUCCUUUAACUAGGAAACUUCUCAA
Molecule: unclassified non-coding RNA, 172 nt
Filed under: uncultured Cladophialophora
Lineage: Eukaryota; Fungi; Ascomycota; Eurotiomycetes; Chaetothyriales; Herpotrichiellaceae
Description: sequence contains ITS2
Source: RNAcentral